GCAUCUUUAGCUCAGUUGGAUAGAGCAACAGCCUUCUAAGCUGAUGGCCAGGGGUUCAAUUCCCUUAAGAUGUU
Non-coding RNA from Nitzschia inconspicua, 74 nucleotides. NCBI's taxonomy places the organism in Eukaryota, Bacillariophyta, Bacillariophyceae, Bacillariales, Bacillariaceae. The record is from the annotation of a GenBank genome assembly.